RNAcentral lists this unclassified non-coding RNA (168 nucleotides) under soil metagenome. Its description in RNAcentral is "partial internal transcribed spacer 1". The record is from RNAcentral.
CUGAGUUGCAAGACUCCCUAACCAUUGUGAACCUACCUAUACCGUUGCUUCGGCGGGCGAGGCCCCAGCGGCCCCCCCAGGCCCCCCGCGGGGGAGCAGCCCGCCGGAGGCGUACCCAAACUAUUGACAUACUAGUGGCCUCUCUGAGUAUCUUUACUGAAUAAGUCA